Molecule: ribosomal RNA, 254 nt
Filed under: uncultured bacterium
Lineage: Bacteria
Description: partial 16S ribosomal RNA
Rfam family: Bacterial small subunit ribosomal RNA
Source: RNAcentral
CACGUAGGGCGCGAGCGUUGUCCGGAAUUAUUGGGCGUAAAGAGCUCGUAGGCGGCCUGUUGCGUCCGCUGUGAAAGCCCGGGGCUUAACCCCGGGUCGGCAGUGGAUACGGGCAGGCUAGAGGUAGGUAGGGGGAGAAUGGAAUUCCCGGUGUAGCGGUGAAAUGCGCAGAUAUCGGGAGGAACACCGGUGGCGAAGGCGGUUCUCUGGGCCUUACCUGACGCUGAGGAGCGAAAGCGUGGGGAGCGAACAGG